This 642-nucleotide long non-coding RNA is filed under the name Sorghum bicolor (sorghum). Its description in RNAcentral is "long non-coding RNA (SBIC_LNC018124)". Lineage: Eukaryota; Viridiplantae; Streptophyta; Magnoliopsida; Poales; Poaceae. The record is from RNAcentral.
UUGAUACUAAUUUGAUGUUAUAAAUGUUAUUGUUUUAUUAUAUAAAUUUGGUACAAUUUGAGAUGCUUUGACUUAUAAAAGUUAAAAUGACUUAUUAUUUGAGACGUAAUAAGUCUGUUUUUAAGUUAUAUUGGUAUGGAUAUGCCAAAUUUUAUUCUCGAGUGAUUGAAAAUGUUUUUCAAUUAGUUUCAUAUUUUUACUUAAGACGUGGUCACCAAAUAUCACUGAAUAGUGAAUAUACACAUACGUACAUGUUUUUCCAAUCUUUCACGUGCAUGGUACCUGCCCCUUGCGAAUAAUUUGCACCCAUAUCGCGGUAGGUAGACCGAACUCUGCUGCUUUAGAUGACUGCAAGUACAAGCUGCACCAAUCAGUUUACUCAUUUCACACACGAAAAGUAAUAAGGCCUUGUUCAGUUCCUAAAAUUUUUCAAAAAUUUUCAAGAUUUUCGGUCAUAUCGAAUCUUUAGACACAUACAUAAAGCAUUAAAUAAAAAUAAAAAUAAAAAUAAAAUCUAAUUGCAUAAUUUGUCUGUAAUUUACGAGACGAAUCUUUUAAACCUAGUUAGUCUAUAAUUAGAUAAAAUUUGUCAAAUACAAACGAAAAUGCUACAGUAACCAAAACCAAAAUUUUCUGCGAGGC